Molecule: small RNA, 226 nt
Filed under: Saimiri boliviensis boliviensis (Bolivian squirrel monkey)
Lineage: Eukaryota; Metazoa; Chordata; Mammalia; Primates; Cebidae
Description: Metazoan signal recognition particle RNA (ENSSBOG00000006557.1)
Source: RNAcentral
GCCGGGCGUGGUGGUGCACACCUGUAAUCCUAGCUACUUGGGAGGUAGAAUCACUUGAACCCAGGAGGCAGAGGUUGCAGUGAGCCAAGAUUGUGCCAGUGUACUCCAGCCUGGGUGACAGAGAGAGACUUCGUUUCAAAACUAAAGCAAAACAAGUUUAUUUUUUGAGUACAGUGGCAUGAUCUCGGCUCACUGCAACCUCCGCCUCCUAGGUUCAAUCAUUUCU